UGGGCGAGAGACCGAUAGCAAACAAGUACCGCGAGGGAAAGAUGAAAAGGACUUUGAAAAGAGAGUCAAAGAGUGCUUGAAAUUGUCGGGAGGGAAGCGAAUGGGGGCCGGCGAUGCGCCUCGGUCGGAUGUGGAACGGUUAAAGCUGGUCCGCCAAUCGGCUCGGGGUGUGGAUCGGUGCGGAUUGGGACGGAGGCCAAAGCCCAGGAAGUCGUUAAGCCUGUGGAGACGCCUUCGCCCCGAUCGUGGCUGGCAGCGCGCGCCCUUUGGGCGUGCUUCGGCAUCUGCGCGCUCCUGG
RNAcentral lists this ribosomal RNA (298 nucleotides) under Arctous rubra. RNAcentral describes it as "partial 28S ribosomal RNA". It matches the Rfam family "Eukaryotic large subunit ribosomal RNA", at positions 323 to 622 of the family's 3401-position model. The record is from RNAcentral. Lineage: Eukaryota; Viridiplantae; Streptophyta; Magnoliopsida; Ericales; Ericaceae.